RNAcentral lists this ribosomal RNA (497 nucleotides) under uncultured bacterium. RNAcentral's name for it is "partial 16S ribosomal RNA". It matches the Rfam family "Bacterial small subunit ribosomal RNA", at positions 28 to 507 of the family's 1533-position model. The record is from RNAcentral.
GAUGAACGCUGGCGGCGUGCCUAAUACAUGCAAGUCGAGCGAACGGACGAGAAGCUUGCUUCUCUGAUGUUAGCGGCGGACGGGUGAGUAACACGUGGCUAACCUACCUAUAAGACUGGGAUAACUUCGGGAAACCGUAGCUAAUACCGGAUAAUAUUUUGAACCGCAUGGUUCAAAAGUGAAAGACGGUCUUGCUGUCACUUAUAGAUAGAUCCGCGCUGCAUCAGCUAGUUGGUAAGGUAACGGCUUACCAAGGCAACGAUGCGUAGCCGACCUGAGAGGGGUAUCGCCCGUCCUGGAACUGAGACGGGGUCCAGACCCCUACGGAGGGCAGCAGUGUGGAAACUUCCGCAAUGGGCGACAGACGGACGUAGCAACGCCGCGUGAGUGAUGAAGGUCGUCCGAUCGUAGACCUCUGUUAUUCGGGAAGAACAUAUGUGUAAGCAACUGUGCACACCUUGACGGGACCUAAUCAGAAAGCCACGGCUAACUACGUG